Molecule: transfer RNA, 65 nt
Filed under: Austrosimulium sp.
Lineage: Eukaryota; Metazoa; Arthropoda; Insecta; Diptera; Simuliidae
Description: tRNA-Ser
Source: RNAcentral
AAAUAUGAGGAUCAAGAGGAAGCUGCUAACUUUCUUCUUUAAUGGUUUAACUCCAUUUAUAUUUU